This 87-nucleotide transfer RNA is filed under the name Halopseudomonas xinjiangensis. RNAcentral's name for it is "tRNA-Leu". It matches the Rfam family "tRNA". Rfam says of the family: Transfer RNA (tRNA) molecules are approximately 80 nucleotides in length. Their secondary structure includes four short double-helical elements and three loops (D, anti-codon, and T loops). Further hydrogen bonds mediate the characteristic L-shaped molecular structure. tRNAs have two regions of fundamental functional importance: the anti-codon, which is responsible for specific mRNA codon recognition, and the 3' end, to which the tRNAs corresponding amino acid is attached (by aminoacyl-tRNA synthetases). tRNAs cope with the degeneracy of the genetic code in two manners: having more than one tRNA (with a specific anti-codon) for a particular amino acid; and 'wobble' base-pairing, i.e. permitting non-standard base-pairing at the 3rd anti-codon position. Lineage: Bacteria; Pseudomonadati; Pseudomonadota; Gammaproteobacteria; Pseudomonadales; Pseudomonadaceae. The record is from RNAcentral.
GCCCAGGUGGUGAAAUUGGUAGACACGCCAGCUUCAGGUGCUGGUGGCCUAACGGCCGUGGAAGUUCGAGUCUUCUCCUGGGCACCA